GCCGGGCUUGUGGUGUGGCCUGUAGUCCCAGCUACCCGGGAGGCUGAGGCUGGAGGACGGCUUGAGCCCAGGAGUUCUGGGCUGUCGUGUGCUAUGCCGAUUGGGUGUCUGCACGAAGUUGGGCAUCAAUGUGGUGACCUCCCGGGAGCGGGGACCACCAGGUUGCUUAAGGAGGGGUGAACGGCCCAGCUCGGAAACGGAGCAGGUCAGAGCUCCCUGCUAAUGAGCAUUGGGAUUGUGCCUGCGAGGAGCCACUGCGCUCCAGUCUGGGCAACACAGCGAGCCCCCGUUUUUA
This 295-nucleotide signal recognition particle RNA is filed under the name Myotis davidii. Its description in RNAcentral is "Metazoan signal recognition particle RNA". It matches the Rfam family "Metazoan signal recognition particle RNA". From Rfam's summary of the family: The signal recognition particle (SRP) is a universally conserved ribonucleoprotein. It is involved in the co-translational targeting of proteins to membranes. The eukaryotic SRP consists of a 300-nucleotide 7S RNA and six proteins: SRPs 72, 68, 54, 19, 14, and 9. The record is from Rfam by way of RNAcentral. Lineage: Eukaryota; Metazoa; Chordata; Mammalia; Chiroptera; Vespertilionidae.